RNAcentral lists this ribosomal RNA (425 nucleotides) under uncultured bacterium. Its description in RNAcentral is "partial 16S ribosomal RNA". It matches the Rfam family "Bacterial small subunit ribosomal RNA", at positions 354 to 796 of the family's 1533-position model. The record is from RNAcentral.
GUGGGGAAUCUUGCGCAAUGGGCGAAAGCCUGACGCAGCCAUGCCGCGUGAAUGAUGAAGGUCUUAGGAUUGUAAAAUUCUUUCACCGGGGACGAUAAUGACGGUACCCGGAGAAGAAGCUCCGGCUAACUUCGUGCCAGCAGCCGCGGUAAUACGAAGGGGGCUAGUGUUGCUCGGAAUUACUGGGCGUAAAGGGCGCGUAGGCGGACAGCUUAGUCAGAGGUGAAAGCCAAGGGCUCAACCUUGGAAUUGCCUUUGAUACUGGCUGUCUUAGGUUUGGGAGAAGUGAGUGGAGCUCCGAGUGUAGAGGUGAAAUUCGUAGAUAUUCGGAAGAACACCAGUGGCGAAGGCGACUCACUGGCCCAAUACUGACGCUGAGGCGCGAAAGCGUGGGGAGCAAACAGGAUUAGAAACCCGGGUAGUCC